Molecule: unclassified non-coding RNA, 232 nt
Filed under: uncultured fungus
Lineage: Eukaryota; Fungi
Description: sequence contains ITS1
Source: RNAcentral
GUAUUGAUUGCGUGUGACCGCAAAAUAAAUAAAUAAAAAGAACAUUCUACACUGUAUCAAGUUUUAUGUGAAAACGCAAGCCCUCCUGCAAAGGGGGGCCCACGCGGUGAUGCACAAAAGGGGUGAGAUGGAUUGUUUGAGAGCGCUCGGGCGUGCACGACAAAAAAGUCAGCGACAGCCCUUGCACCUCAGUUUUACGAUAAUGAUCCUUCCGCAGGUUCACCUACGGAAA